RNAcentral lists this ribosomal RNA (816 nucleotides) under Oenococcus oeni. RNAcentral describes it as "bacterial LSU rRNA". It matches the Rfam family "Bacterial large subunit ribosomal RNA", at positions 2109 to 2925 of the family's 2925-position model. Lineage: Bacteria; Bacillati; Bacillota; Bacilli; Lactobacillales; Lactobacillaceae. The record is from RNAcentral.
GCUUGAUAUUGAAUGUUUGUGCUGCAUGUGCAGGAUAGGUAGGAGACUUUGAAGUCGGAACGCUAGUUUCGAUUGAGUCACCCUUGAGAUACUACCUCUGUUGUAUGAACGUUCUAACUCUGAUCAGUUAUCCUGAUCGAAGACAGUGUCUGGCAGGCAGUUUGACUGGGGCGGUCGCCUCCUAAAAGAUAACGGAGGCGCUCAAAGGUUUGCUCAGAAUGGUUGGAAAUCAUUCGUAGCGUGUAAAGGCAUAAGCAAGCUUGACUGUGAGACUGACAAGUCGAGCAGGUACGAAAGUAGGACUUAGUGAUCCGGUGGUUCCGUAUGGAAGGGCCAUCGCUCAACGGACAAAAGCUACCCCGGGGAUAACAGGCUCAUCUCCCCCAAGAGUCCACAUCGACGGGGAGGUUUGGCACCUCGAUGUCGGCUCAUCGCAUCCUGGGGCUGUAGUCGGUCCCAAGGGUUGGGCUGUUCGCCCAUUAAAGCGGUACGCGAGCUGGGUUCAGAACGUCGUGAGACAGUUCGGUCCCUAUCCGUCGUGGGCGCAGGAAAUUUGAGAGGAUCUGUCCUUAGUACGAGAGGACCGGGAUGGACAUACCUCUGGUGUACCAGUUGUUCUGCCAAGAGCACCGCUGGGUAGCUACGUAUGGAUUAGAUAAUCGCUGAAAGCAUCUAAGUGAGAAACUAACCUCGAGAUGAGAUUUCCCAUUCGUCAGAAGUAAGACCCCUGAGAGACGAUCAGGUAGAUAGGCUAGAAGUGGAAGUGUAGUGAUGCAUGGAGCGGACUAGUACUAAUAGGUCGAGGACUUAACCAAG